GUCCUCAUGGCUCAAUCGGUAGAGCGUCCGACUAUCAGUCAGGCGGUCGCUGGUUCGAGUCCGGUGGAGAUCC
Transfer RNA from Ancylostoma ceylanicum, 73 nucleotides. It matches the Rfam family "tRNA". From Rfam's summary of the family: Transfer RNA (tRNA) molecules are approximately 80 nucleotides in length. Their secondary structure includes four short double-helical elements and three loops (D, anti-codon, and T loops). The record is from Rfam. NCBI's taxonomy places the organism in Eukaryota, Metazoa, Nematoda, Chromadorea, Rhabditida, Ancylostomatidae.